AGAGUUUGAUCCUGGCUCAGAACGAACGUUGGCGGCGUGCCUAAUACAUGCAAGUCGAGCGAGAAACUACCCUUCGGGGUAGGAGUACAGCGGCGAAAGGGUGAGUAAUACGUGGAUAACCUACCCUCUAGACCGGGAUAACCCAGGGAAACUUGGACUAAUACCGGAUGCCGUCCGAGAAGCUCCUGCUUUUUGGAUGAAAACGAGCCGAAAGGUUCGCGCUAGAGGAGGGGUUCACGGCCUAUCAGCUAGUUGGCGGGAUAACAGCCCACCAAGGCUUUGACGGGUAGCCGGACUGAGAGGUUGGUCGGCCACAUGGGCACUGAGACACGGGUCCAGCACCUACGGGUGGCAGCAGUAGGGAAUAUUGCACAAUGGGCGAAAGCCUGAUGCAGCGACGCCGCGUGCGGGACGAAGCUCUUCGGGGUGUAAACCGCUUUUCUGAGGGACGAACAUUGACGGUACCUCAGGAAUAAGCACCGGCUAACUCCGUGCCAGCAGCUGCGGUAAUACGGAGGGUGCAAACGUUGUUCGGAUUCACUGGGCGUAAAGGGUCCGUAGGCGGCCCGGCAAAUCGAUUGUGCAAUCCCGACGCCUACCGUCGGAACCGCAGUCGAAAAUACCGGGCUAGAGGCCGUCAGGGGCGAGUGGAACUCUUGGUGGAGCGGUGAAAUGCGUAGAUAUCAAGAGGAACGCCGGAGGCGAAAGCGACUCGCUGGGGCGGAUCUGACGCUGAGGGACGAAAGCUGGGGGAGCAAACAGGAUUAGAUACCCUGGUAGUCCCAGCCGUAAACGAUGAGGACUAAAUGGAGGAAAUUUCGGUUUUCUCUGUUGCAGCUAACGCAUUAAGUCCUCCGCCUGGGGAGUACGGCCGCAAGGUUAAAACUCAAAGGAAUUGACGGGGGCUCGCACAAGCGGUGGAGCAUGUGGUUUGUAAUUCGAUGCAACGCGAAGAACCUUACCCGGGCUUGAAGUGCUGGUGGUACGGAUCCGAAAGGUGAAGGACCCUUUACGGGGAGCCAGCAUCAGGUGUUGCAUGGCUGUCGUCAGCUCGUGUCGUGAGAUGUUGGGUUAAGUCCCGUAACGAGCGAAACCCCUGCGCUUAGUUGCAACUCCCUUUGGGAGGCACUUUAAGCGGACUGCCCGUGUCGAAUGGGAGGAAGGUGGGGAUGACGUCAAGUCCUCAUGGCCCUUAUGUCCGGGGCUACACACGUGCUACAAUGGUCGGUACAAAGGGUCGCCAACCCGCGAGGGGGAGCCAAUCCCACAAAGCCGACCCCAGUUCGGAUUGGAGGCUGCAACUCGCCUCCAUGAAGCCGGAAUCGCUAGUAAUCGCGGAUCAGCCACGCCGCGGUGAAUAUGUUCCCGAGCCUUGUACACACCGCCCGUCAAGCCACUCAAGCAUGGGGCGCCUAAAGUCCGUUCCCAAACCUUCGGGAUGGUGCGGCCCAGGGUGAAACGUGUGAGAAGGGCUAAGUCGUAACAAGGUA
Molecule: ribosomal RNA, 1490 nt
Filed under: metagenome
Description: bacterial SSU rRNA
Rfam family: Bacterial small subunit ribosomal RNA
Source: RNAcentral